GACGAACGCUGGCGGCGUGCUUAACACAUGCAAGUCGAGCGGAGCGGCGAACGGGUGAGUAACUCGUUAGUAACUGCCCCCCUCUCUGGGAUAACAGUUGGCAACGGCUGCCAAUACCGGAUAGUGGGGGAUGACUCGCGUCCUAUCAGCUUGUUGGUGGGGUAGUGGCCUACCAAGGCGACGACGGGUAGCCGGCCUGGGAGGGCGACCGGCCACAUUGGGCUGAGAUACGGCCCAAACUCGUACGGGGGGCAGUAGGGGGGAAUAUUGCACAAUGGGGGAAACCCUGAUGCAGCAACGCCGCGGGCGGGAUGAAGGCCUUCGGGUUGGAAACCGCUUUCAGCCAUGACGCGGUAGUGGCAGAAGAAGCACCGGCUAACUACGUGCCAGCCGCCGCGGUAAUUC
Molecule: ribosomal RNA, 405 nt
Filed under: uncultured bacterium
Lineage: Bacteria
Description: partial 16S ribosomal RNA
Rfam family: Bacterial small subunit ribosomal RNA
Source: RNAcentral